Molecule: long non-coding RNA, 2797 nt
Organism: Symphalangus syndactylus (siamang)
Lineage: Eukaryota; Metazoa; Chordata; Mammalia; Primates; Hylobatidae
Source: RefSeq, a predicted model, not a curated record
CCCCAUCCGGCGGCUCUCGGUGCUGCGUCUGCCGCUUGUGCUUCAUGCGCCGGUUCUGGAACCAGACUUUGACCUGCCUUUCGGUGAGGUCCAGCAAGGCCGCGAUCUCCACGCGGCGUGGCCGGCACAGAGUUGGGGCAGAAAGGACCGAAUCUUUUCCUGCUUCUAGAGUCUAUCCCAGCAACAACAUACUCAUUUCCCUACACAGCUGCCCCUCACCCCACCCCCACUACGCUUACCGACCUGCAGGCGAUCCGACCCCGGAGGCCGGGACGGCGGAGGCGGCCGGAGAAGGAGACGUGGCGGAUUGGCUGGGUUUCUUGGCGGAUUUCUUCUCUUUCAUCCAAGGGAACUCGGGGGCCGGGGGGGCAGCGGGGAGCGGCGGCGGCGGUGGCGGCGGCAGAGCAGGCCCAUCUUCGGCUCGCUUUUGGCUCCUGGGUCUCUGAAGGGUGGAGGCGCCGGGCUGGAGGCUGGGGAAGGUUUGCUCGAAAGGAGGAGGAGGAGGAAUUAAUGUCGACUCCUUGAUUGAUGAAGUUUGAAAUGUCUCCAAGACAGCGGGGAAGGAAGUCAGACACUCGGCGAGCGAUGGCUGGCUGUUUAUAAACCCAAUCUCCCUCUCAAAUUCAAAAUUCAUGGCUUUCAGUGGUGGGGGAGGGGGCUGCUGGGGGGGGCGUCAGGAGGGAGGAUCGGAAGGGACCCCCCCUCCUGCCCCCCCCUAGAUUUAUGUAAUGGAGCGAUUUUGGGAGGGGGAGAUUUCGGUCUCUUUUUUUUUUUAAUUUUGGGCCUUUAUAAUUGUAUAUUGCUGAUAAAUACAAGCGUAUGGGGACUCUCUCUAUUAAACCCAGGACUCCAGCGAAAUUACAGGGAAUUCGUGGUCACGGGACCGGCCUCCGCCAAUCACUCGUCUGGGCCUGGUGGAAAACAGAGAGCAUUAUUUGGUUUAAUUGAUUCAAAAACACCAGAGGACCACGACCUGGACACCAUGAGCCCCCAUUCCUACACCAUUGCCUCACACGCUCUCUCCCCAAUGCCUCCAUUUCUCUAGAAAAGCUAGAGGAAUCUUUUCCUCAUCCCCUUCGAAGGUUAGAAGGUUUCAGAAGCCUGGAAAAGAAGAGACUCUAAGGGAGAAAACUUCCUCUUUUCCAAGUAUUUUAAUAGAGUAAAUUAAGUCUUUCUUUACGUGGCCAGCAGCAUCCCCUUCCCUUCUCCCCUUCCCCAAGAAAAGAUGAGUGAGGAUCUCCGCGUUGGAGGAAGAGGGAGUCGAAAGAGGCUUCCACUCUUUGAAAAAGGUCAGUGUUAAGGUGCAAAUAAGAAAGAGAUUUACAAUCAUCAGCACCACCAUCCCUGUUACCCUCCAAAAGCAACAGUUAAAUCUUGGGAAAUGGACAGGAACUCCCAGGCGGACACAUAGGAGUGAGAUGGAGCAUGAGGGGCAUUUUUGGGCCUCUGGCCUCCAUCGCUGUAUGGCCUGGGUUCUCUUCUCUGCCCAGUGUUUGCAGCACUGCCCCUGCCCCUUAUAUACCCCUGCUUUCCUCACUUUCAGGCUUCCAUGCUUCUCUGUGACAUCCCCCUCCCCUCCAAAAACAGGCAGAGUCUAAGAUGUGCAUGUACCCACUCAAGCCUCAAGCUUGUAUCUGUAUCCAUAUCCAGGGACAUGAACAAGAACUGAGCCAGGAGGAGAAGGCUGGUUAGCAGAGAAAUGGCAACUGAGCCCGGAGCUGGAACUAGAAACUCUGUCAAUGUAACAUCUGCGUGGGUGGUGACCCAAUGGUGGUUGGGCUUCAGGUCACGUGACAACUUCUUUGUAGCUCCGGAAGAGGACUGCGAAGUUUAGGAUAAUUGAGGAAAAAAAAUCAAGAUUUUGGGGGAAUUACCUACAAAGAUGUAAGGUGUGUUAAUUUGGGCGCUUCUUGGAUUCUACCCUGAGGAGGAGGCGCGUGGUGAGAGGAGAGGUCUGUGUAGGUGGGGUGGGGGUCGCAGGGUCCGUGGUGCUGGCUGGGCGCCAUAGGGGGCGCCCCGUUGUAGUCCAGGUUCCCGGAAGGGUGAUGAGAAAGGUGGUUGAGGCCAUAGAGGGAGGGGCCGGCAGGGGGCGGCAGCGGAUCCGCGUAGCCGCCCCCGCCCACGUACGGCGGACUGCCCUGCAUGGUGGGCGUCCCGUAGGCGCCCCCGUUGGCUUGGAGGACGUGCGGCUCAUACUCGGGCGCCGGGGUCGGAGGGUACUUCUGCGGGGCGCCGCAGCCUUUGAGAGGUGGCUGGUAGUUGGAGGGCAGCGCGUAGGCAUUCUGGUGGGCUUUACCGAAGGCGGGUGGGGACGGGCUCUCGUAGCUGGGGGUCAUGGAGUGUAAGGCGUUCAUGAAGCCGGCCGUGGACUGCAUGGGCUGCGGGGGGCUGCCGGCUGGAGAUGGGCCCCCCGAGGACGAGGCCAAUCCCUUGGCCUUCUGGUCUUUCUUGUACUUCAUGCGCCUGUUCUGGAACCAGAUCUUGAUCUGCCGCUCGCUGAGGUUCAGCAGGUUGGCCAUCUCCACACGGCGAGGCCGGCACAGGUAGCGGUUAAAAUGGAACUCCUUCUCCAGCUCCACCAGCUGCGCGCUGGUGUACGCCGUCCGCGCCCGCUUGGACGCCGCCGACCCCGGGGGGCUCUUGUCCCCUCCCCCGCCGCCGCCGCCGCCACCGCCCCCGCUGCCACCGCUGCCUCCGCCGCCGCCACCGCCGCCGCCACCACAGCCCUCUGCUGGAUCCGAGAGGGAGGGGUGGGAAGGGGAGAAAAUGAAAUAAAAGAUAAUUACUGAACACGCCG